GACGUAGGAGGCGAGCGUUAUCCGGAUUUACUGGGCGUAAAGCGCGUGCAGGUGGUUUGGAAAGUUGGAUGUGAAAGCUCCUGGCUUAACUAGGAGAGGUCGUUCAAAACUUCCAGACUAGAGGAUGGUAGAGGGAGGUGGAAUUCCGGGUGUAGUGGUGAAAUGCGUAGAUAUCCGGAGGAACACCAGUGGCGAAAGCGGCCUCCUGGACCAAUCCUGACACUCAGACGCGAAAGCUAGGGUAGCAAACGGG
This 253-nucleotide ribosomal RNA is filed under the name uncultured bacterium. Its description in RNAcentral is "partial 16S ribosomal RNA". It matches the Rfam family "Bacterial small subunit ribosomal RNA", at positions 524 to 776 of the family's 1533-position model. The record is from RNAcentral.